RNAcentral lists this ribosomal RNA (216 nucleotides) under uncultured Glomus. RNAcentral describes it as "partial small subunit ribosomal RNA". It matches the Rfam family "Eukaryotic small subunit ribosomal RNA", at positions 569 to 788 of the family's 1831-position model. Lineage: Eukaryota; Fungi; Glomeromycota; Glomeromycetes; Glomerales; Glomeraceae. The record is from RNAcentral.
AGCAGCCGCGGUAAUUCCAGCUCCAAUAGCGUAUAUUAAAGUUGUUGCAGUUAAAAAGCUCGUAGUUGAAUUUCGGGGUCAAUACGUCGGUCGUGCUUCGGUACGCACUAACGUCAUUGAUUCCUCCCUUCUGACGAACCGUGAUGUCAUUAAUUUGGUGUUGCGGGAAAUCAGGACUGUUACCUUGAAAAAAUUAGAGUGUUUAAAGCAGGCAAU